CUCUAUCUAUGGUUCCUAAGUGUGAUAACUGGGUGUUCUUCUGUCUUUGUGAUUUAUGCCUCUUUCAAACCUUGUUAAAACAUUAGCACAUUAGGUGGGAGC
Sorex araneus (European shrew) is the source of this 102-nucleotide small nucleolar RNA. RefSeq annotates it as small nucleolar RNA U13. The record is from RefSeq and is a predicted model, not a curated record. Lineage: Eukaryota; Metazoa; Chordata; Mammalia; Eulipotyphla; Soricidae. The transcript has a single exon.